CAUUAUAAAUUUGUGGAAAUGAAAUUAAUGAAAGUUUCAUAAGGUGUAUUAAAGGCUGAGCUUAUUCUGAUAAAAUAAACAUAAAAUUGCAUCAACACUUGAUGGUUGAUACCAUGUCAAAGAAAAGUAGAAAAAGAAAGUCCGAGGAUGGGAGCCAGUCACCAGUUGACUGGGAGGAAGAAAAUAUUUUCUCUGAAGAAAUAAAAAAUGAAAUGGAAUCUAUGUGGGAGAUUCCACAGAUAUUUCAGUUCCUUCAUUUGGCUAAGGAAGCUCUAAAUAUACCUCAUUUAUCCAUGUAUGAAAUGGAACGCAUGCUUUUAAUUCCAAGAGCUUCAAAACAACUGGCAAACAUUAUGACUUGUUUACUAAGUUCUCCAAUGACAAAAUCAAAAUUGAGAAAGGUACCGCCUAUGCCAUAUGAGUUUUGGACAAAUAUCUUGGCCUACAAAAUGAAGAGCUGGUUUAAAGUGUAUGAAGCAAAGCAUCAAGACCCAGUAAAAAUUCUAGAGACCAUUGGUGUUGAACCAGAAUUUUGGAAUGUUUUUCCUGAUGCUCCUCUGCUGAAUGGCAAAGAUUUUGAAGAGCUGACCUUUAAACAGAAGGUGUGGCUUUUGAAAACAGUCUGUGAUACAGUUAUGCACUCUAGGAAAUCUGUGCAAGAAGAAAUAGCCAAGCAACCAUGGGAAAACCAAUUUGAAACUGUCCUAGGAACUGAUCGUUAUGGCGCAAGAUACGUUUAUUUUCCACAAUUUUUGAAAAGUGAUCUACGAGUGUAUAGACACUGUCUUGAUAAUAAGAUUUUCUCGACGGUGAAGGUACCAUUAUCACAACCUAUCAAGCCAAAAUUACACGCGGAAAAUGAAGAGCUGGAUGAAAAUGAGUUAAUAAAAAAACAAGUUAGGCGCAGAAGAAGAAGAUGGUGCAACGGUUUGCCUCCGAAAUUAAAGAGGAAAGGAAAUAAAUGUGAUGAAAAACAAUUAAACGAUAUUAAGAGUAACAGCGAUAGCGCAACAAGUUCCUUGAUAAACGAAGAUACAAGUUUGAGUAACCUAAGUACAUGUAGUGAUAGUAAUAGCAAUAACAAUAACGAUAUCAAUCCGACCACUAUCAAUGUUAAAAGACCGAGAAGUUCAUCGAAAUGUUCGGAAGUAAGUAUGGAAUCAGAUAAAACUUGUUGUACAAAAUCGAGUGGUUACGAUACGAAUCGUUCUAUCGACAAUCUUUCUGAAAGCAAAUCACCGGAAAGAAUGUUCAAAGGUUUCUCGAAUAGCAGUGAUAUUACAAAUAAAAAAUGUGACAUAAAUGUAAUUAAUGGACUAUUGACUAAUUUACAAUCAGAAUUCAGUGAAAUUGAAAGUACAGAAGAUUCUGGUGUAAGUUUAACGCAUACUUCCCCAAACAAAUUGGAAAUUACAUCAGCGAAAGAGCAGUAUUUAGAUGCAUUAAAUUUGCACGCAACUAAGAGUGAACCUGUCGAUAGAACAAUUGAUAGUUUGUGUAGUGUCUCGAAGACAGACGAUGAAAAGUUGAACGAAAUUAUCAGCGCUGAAAGUUUAAAGGUUGGCAGUGAAGCACAUCAGAUGACGACAUCAAAAUCUGAUGAUGAGAAGUUAAGCGAAACGAGAAUUAAUUGUGACGCGACUGAUCAGUCUGAAGGAAAAGAGGGAAAUGAGAUAAUCGAGAGACCAAAUGGACAAUAUGCCGACAGCCAGCAAUCAGAUAAUUUGAACAUUAGUGACAAGGAAACGCCACAUUCUAAAGCAACAAGUAAAAGUAACAAUGAGAUAGAGUCUAAUGACGAUAAAGAUCUUUCUUUGAGUGAGUUAAGAUGCAUGUUGCAAAAAGAAGCGAUGGAUGAUGAGCACUAUCUUGACGAAGAGCGCAAAAAGAAUUAUAAUGACCGAAAAUUAAAGAACAACAUAGCAGAUAUGUGGCACCAAGAAGUGGAGAAUUUUAAUGAGAUGCUUUCAGAACUUAGCUCUUCGGAAUUUCAACUUGUAGCUGACAGCGUCAGUUCAUUGAGAGAUCUCAUUGCUUCUUUCUCUCAAAAGGAUGAUGAUACAACUACUGAUGCUGAUGGUGAAGACGAAUCUAUCCCUCCUUGUGAAGUAAGUUUGAUUAAAGAAAUGAUGGAUUUACUAGCCACUGUAGAAAAAAUAGAAUCAGCUUUACGUGAGUCGACAAGAAGGGCCAGAGGGAAACUUCAAAAGGAAUGGACCAAUUUUAAAGAAGGCAGUGUGGAGGAUCAGGACUCAUCUGGGGAGGGUCUCGACUCUAAUUGGUGGGUUCUUGGAUCACAGAGCUGUCCACCGCCAACUUCCGGAGAUUCAACGUUACAAACGUUACCGCAUUUUACCAUAUCCCCAACUGGCUCCCAAAACGUUUCCAACCAAACUGAAGACCGUCAAGCAGACCAACGUACGAACUCCGUCGAAUUCGAUAAAAAUAGCAACCAACAAUGUAAGGAACAUCAGGGUGAAAGCACGCAAGAUGAAACGCAAAGAAGUCAAUCCAACGGAGGCGAAGGAAGCAUCCAGGACGGCGCCGAAGACAAAAAAGAAUCGAAAGAAGACUCGAACCAAGAAGAACUGCAAUCGGGAAGAGUGUUGCGAGCACGCGGUGUCUCCUCGUACACAUUUUAUUCGGACGACGAGACUGAAGAGAACGAGUUGGAAGAAUGGCCCGACCUUGAGGCCAUCUACGCGGCUCCCACUACACAGGCCGAUUCAUCCACUCCUUACCUUACUACGAAAAUCAGAAACCUUGACAGUCGAACGAACGAGGAGGACUCAGACCAGGAUUGGAUUCUACCGAGCUCUCGCAAAAGGAAAAAUAAACGUCCGUCUGCCAGCCGAAGAUUAAAAUCCUUUCAACAUAAGUUACAAAGCAUUAAGGUUGACACCCUCCAAAACAUGGCAGAGCCAAUAGUAACUACCCCUAUAAAUAUAAAAAACCAAAAGCCGAAACCUAAAAUCAAAGAAAUUCAAAUAUGUAAACCAGAAGACCCACUUAGUUCAGAGAAUCCUGAUCCUGCGAUACAAAAUGCUGUACAAAAUCAUGAUACCGAGGUACAAAGUACUGCAGAUAACCACGACACCAUGGUACAAAAUACUACAGAGAACGGUGAAGCAGUGGUGCAAGAUGCUGCAAAGGAUCCUGACACCGUGGUACAAAAUAACCCUAAAGAACCAGUGCCUUCCACGGAAAUCACCUGCAAGAUCGAAAAUGUCGAAAGCGUACACUCAGAGUUGGACAUCAAAGACGAAGGUCCAAUUUAUGAUUGUAUGAGUCAGUGCGAUAAUACCUAUGCUACUAAUUUUAAUCAAAAUUAUGUGAUGGUCAGAGAUGAUCACAAUCCAAUAAACUAUUACGUGAUGCAACCGAAUCCUGUGAACGUUGCUACACAAAACACAUACGGGCAACCGGGUCCAGUGGUUUCGAACAUUAUAUCACCCGUUCAACAAGGCUACUACAUGCAGGGAGGGCAGAAUUACAUUAUUCAAAAUCCACAACCCAAUUUCAUACCUUCCCAACCGUUUCAACCACAAGGCCCACAAAUGAUUGCUCCUCAACAGUUCAUCAGCCAGCCUGGUUACCUGCCUUACAUGAUGACGCCGACGCAAUCGCAUCCUGAAUACGUGCCUGCAGGUUCUCAAACUGUUGCUGCUCAGGAGAUGCCUCAGAAUCCUAUGUACAUUCAGCCCCCUGCAGCUCCCCCACCUAGACCAGUUCAAAACAGGUACAUCGUACCGCGACAAAAUCUUCAUUCUCACGGAGCUGUUAUAAGAAGCAGCAUGCCUAUCAGAGGAAGUUUCCCACGGGCUAAUACCGCCAGGGGAGCCAAAACCUUUCAGCAACCACGUGGUUCCACUGUGAGACCCCAGAAGCCAAGGAAACAGAUUGCACCCGCGGAAACCACUGGUCAAAAGACUACUUCUUUAAUUGUCCUUAGUGACAGUGAUGAUGAAAUUGAGAUGAUCAUUACUGAAACCAGUCCCGGAGCUGAAACGGAGAAAACAAAGACUACUCAUCGGAAGAAUUACGCACAGUCUAGACAGAAUGUUACGCAAUCGAACAGCCCGGCAACAAAAAGUGCCAUCUCUCCACAGAUAAUUCAACGUAUGACACAAGGAGGCAUCUCGAUAACGCCCAUUAAGUCUGCACCACCCGUUCAGAACUCGAACACACAGUUAGUAGUAGUCGUGAAUGAAACUGGAAGCCAUUAUGCCUUAGCAUUACCUAAUGGAAGCAAGUUGAUCCUUACUCCUGAACAGGUGGCGCAGAUAAGAGCUUCAAACGGGGGAAAAUUAAUCUUGUAAUAUGUAAAUUAUUUUCGGAAUUUGUGGGAAUGAACUUUGAUCUCUUAUUUGUCUACGAUCUAGAACAGUGAUGCGGAUAGAAAGGACGCCCAAGAAAAUUUAGUAGCACCUGAGGUGCACGGAGUGCGAAAUUAAAGAUCCAUAAAGAUUUGAAACUUAGAUUUAGAAAUUGAGAAAUUGUCUACCCGUCACUGGUCUAUGGUAUAUUCUUAUAGACAAUGUAUUCUGAUGUUCCUACAAUGUGCAGCAGAAGUACGAUUUUUUUCUUGCGACCGUUCAGUGAAUUUAUAAAAACAUUUUGAAGGCAAGAUAUUACUGUAACACGAAGAUACCAUUAUUUUAAUUAUUAUAUUAAUGACCUAAUCAGUAAGUUUUCUUUUCAUUAGUUUUAUCAGUUAUUUGAUUUCAUAUUCAUCAUUCAUUAGAUUUUUUUACUUGAUAUUGAGUCAAGUUAAUAAUACAUAUAUAAUCUAUAAUUAAACUUUGUUUUUUCCCAGUUGCAGUGUUAGAACAUAAUUAGUGAUACUUGUGACCUGUGAUGUCUAUAUCCAUUUUUAUAUAUUUUGUUAUAAAAAAACAAUAUUGGUCUUUUAACCGUGUGAAUAAAUCGAAUAUUGUAACGAGAUGUUCGUUUUAUUCAUCAUUAAGGUAAAUUCAAAAAUGUAUUUUGGUUUUGAACAGCAUUUUCUGAAGUAUUUUUACAAGUAUAAUAGAAGUUUCUUUGACAAAGUAAGACGGUUGAUUAUACAACAUAUUGCGUGUGUCAUAGUGUAUUUAUAAUUUAAGCAUUAAGUGCAAUUAUAGCAAAAAGGUAUAUAACAUUCGAAUAAGUAAAAUUACUUUAUAUGUAUUAUUUGUAGAAUCGAAGGCAGCAUUUUCUUUUUGUAUAGCGUUUAGCUUUGAAAUCACAAAUGCACAUUAAUAACAAAUAUUUCUAAGAUCAGUAUAAUAAGAAAUCACAUUUUCAGAAGUUUUUAACAAGCCUCUGUAAACAAUAUAUUUAAUAAAUCAAGACAGAAGGAUAAUACAAUUUUCAGUAUGUUACGCGUAUGUUACAAGUAUAUUACAAACCCUAAAAAGAAAAGCUUUGUACACUUCACAGUGAAUAGGAACGUUAAAUAUUUUAAUAACAAUGAAUCUUUAUAACUUAUCAAAAACAUGAGAUGCGGCAAGUCUUCAGAACAUUAAAAAGAUACAGGAACUUAUUAUUUACAAUUGACAAUAAAUUACGUGAAUGUUACGAUAAAAGCAUUUGAUCCAAGAAUUUUAAAAUAUAAUUUAGAAGAAGCUAAACAUUUGCCAAUAAAUCUGAAAGAAAGGAGGGUGUAGUCGCAUCUAAAACAGAAACGUACACAAUUCAAAUGCAAGAACCAAAUAAAAAUUGAAGAAGUAGUGCAUUGACUGCCACAGAGUUACAAAUUUCAUAAGUAUUUAAAAUUAGAACCUGAAAUAAUGAAUGCAAAAGUGAGAAUAUAAACACAAAAAUUUCUCUCGUCUCCCAAUUAAUUUGGACAAUGAAAGUUCCACUUGAAGAUGAAAUCCGUAAUUUAUUAUGGCAGUGAGCGUUUCAAUGCUCGCGAGUGAAUCUCUUCCGGGAUCAUGAAAAGCAGGAAGUACACCGAGGAAAGUGUGAUCGAGAGACUUACGGAUAGCAUGGCCAACAGACAGCAAACGUACACGGCUCCUGGAAUCAGAAAAUGGGAUUAGCUUUGCGUGAAAAACGGAAGGGCGCAAAAAAACAUAUUCCGAUCGUGCAACCUUGUGCAAGAUCGCUCGUGGACAUACUCCAUUAUUAAGUAAACGUAACUCUGUGAAAAGUGGGCCGCCAGGAAAGGGAGUCAAUGCCGUCGUCAACGUAACACGAACGCCUAAUGUACUCGCGAGUUUCAUCCUGCAUACCUAAACGAAGACGCAAGAAAUUGUGUGGGUUUCUCCGUUUUUCGUGGCUAAAAGAAGCCUUAUUACGAGACGAUGCCUGGUCCAAUGUUAAAUAGACCGAUCAGAUUUAAUUAAGUUUGUUAGGUAAAUUAGCGCAAAACAAACUUGAACUUACCCAUGCUGGUGAACGCGUUUUCCACAGGUAACGACAACACCUGUUGAUCCACGCGAGACGGCGUCUCUUGGUUGACUGAGAUUGCAGGCGAAUUCUCGUCUUCCCCGCAGACCCUGAAAGAGUGAGUGCCGUUAUGUUGUACAGGAUGUAUCAGAAACGUCGGACAUAACAGUACGCGACCAUACGGUUGAACGUUUUAUAAAAAGAAGAAAAUUUUGUUGGAGAAAAUAAAUACAUUUAACUUUC
Molecule: unclassified non-coding RNA, 6618 nt
Filed under: Megachile rotundata (alfalfa leafcutting bee)
Lineage: Eukaryota; Metazoa; Arthropoda; Insecta; Hymenoptera; Megachilidae
Description: uncharacterized LOC100878137, transcript variant X11
Source: RNAcentral